RNAcentral lists this long non-coding RNA (391 nucleotides) under Lathyrus oleraceus (garden pea). Its description in RNAcentral is "Pisum sativum (pea) long non-coding RNA (PSAT_LNC008941)". Lineage: Eukaryota; Viridiplantae; Streptophyta; Magnoliopsida; Fabales; Fabaceae. The record is from RNAcentral.
GUGAGAUGGUGCUGACUGCUGAAACAAACUACUCAAGAGCUAUAAGAAAAAUGAGAACUCAAGGCUAUGUCAUAACAAGUAUUCAAAAUGAUUUUCAUAUUCAGGAGAUUUAAGGUGUUAAAACGAUACCGAUCUUGUGAACUUCUCCCAAGUCUCUACAAACCAACCUCAAAUUAUUCUAUAGCCUAAAACUUUCAACAAAAAUGCAAUUUUUUUUUGAAAGAAAACAAAAACAAAACAAAACAAAGAACAAAAACAAAGAAAAUAAAGUAUUCCCUCCCCCACACUUAAAAUAUGCAUUGUCCUCAAUGAAAGAAACAAACAUAAAAUAAGAGAGAGAAGAGAGAGGAAAGAACACACCCGAGUAGUCAAGGAGGAUAGGUGAUCACAU